UUAAUAACCCGAUGACCUGUGGUAAUCCCACCGGAGGAGGAGGUUCAGCGUCAGCGGCGGGGUUCCUCAUCGGUCAACGGCAGCCUUUGUCUCCUCUUCCUCCGUUCCCGGCUGUGCAUGCGGCGGCGGAGUCUCCGAUCUCCGCUUACAUGCGGUUUCUCCAGAGCUCGGUCUCCUCGGCUGCUUCUCCCAAGUGGAACAACCUUCCGCCGCCGCAGAUGCCGCCGCCGCCACCGGCGCUGCAUCAGCAGCAGCAGAACAUUCCUCCGCCGCCGCAGGGUUUUCCUCAGUUCCCGGUGCUUC
This 303-nucleotide long non-coding RNA is filed under the name Coffea arabica (coffee). RNAcentral's name for it is "long non-coding RNA (CARA_LNC006742)". Lineage: Eukaryota; Viridiplantae; Streptophyta; Magnoliopsida; Gentianales; Rubiaceae. The record is from RNAcentral.